This 254-nucleotide ribosomal RNA is filed under the name uncultured bacterium. RNAcentral describes it as "partial 16S ribosomal RNA". It matches the Rfam family "Bacterial small subunit ribosomal RNA", at positions 524 to 776 of the family's 1533-position model. The record is from RNAcentral.
CACGUAGGGGGCGAGCGUUGUCCGGAUUUAUUGGGCGUAAAGAGCUCGUAGGUGGUUUGGUAAGUCGGAUGUGAAAUCUCCAGGCUCAACCUGGAGGGGCCAUUCGAUACUGCCAUGACUAGAGGUCGGUAGGGGAGUGUGGAAUUCCUGGUGGAGCGGUGAAAUGCGCAGAUAUCAGGAGGAACACCCGUAGCGAAGGCGGCACUCUGGGCCGAUUCUGACACUGAGGAGCGAAAGCGUGGGGAGCGAACAGG